RNAcentral lists this transfer RNA (120 nucleotides) under Capsicum annuum. Its description in RNAcentral is "tRNA-Leu". The stretch from base 41 to 120 matches the Rfam family "tRNA". Rfam says of the family: Transfer RNA (tRNA) molecules are approximately 80 nucleotides in length. Their secondary structure includes four short double-helical elements and three loops (D, anti-codon, and T loops). Further hydrogen bonds mediate the characteristic L-shaped molecular structure. tRNAs have two regions of fundamental functional importance: the anti-codon, which is responsible for specific mRNA codon recognition, and the 3' end, to which the tRNAs corresponding amino acid is attached (by aminoacyl-tRNA synthetases). tRNAs cope with the degeneracy of the genetic code in two manners: having more than one tRNA (with a specific anti-codon) for a particular amino acid; and 'wobble' base-pairing, i.e. permitting non-standard base-pairing at the 3rd anti-codon position. Lineage: Eukaryota; Viridiplantae; Streptophyta; Magnoliopsida; Solanales; Solanaceae. The record is from RNAcentral.
GACGAUUGCUUAUUCAUAGGCUAUUAUGAGUUCAAGACAGGCCGCUAUGGUGAAAUUGGUAGACACGCUGCUCUUAGGAAGCAGUGCUAAUGCAUCUCGGUUCGAGUCCGAGUGGCGGCA